This 193-nucleotide non-coding RNA is filed under the name Flavonifractor plautii. Lineage: Bacteria; Bacillati; Bacillota; Clostridia; Eubacteriales; Oscillospiraceae. The record is from RNAcentral.
AGAAUAGUAAAGCGCACAGGUGUGUCAUCUCCCUCGGGGGAAGACAGAAAAGGGAAGUCGGGUGAAAAUCCCGCACAGGGCCGCUGCUGUAAUUGCGGAGUCCCGCCAAACGUGUCACUGGUUACUUUACCGGGAAGGCUGGCGUGGAUGAAGAUGCAUAAGUCAGAAGACCUGCCUGUUGCGUGCACGAUUA